RNAcentral lists this ribosomal RNA (531 nucleotides) under Cardinium endosymbiont of Heterocypris incongruens. RNAcentral describes it as "bacterial SSU rRNA". It matches the Rfam family "Bacterial small subunit ribosomal RNA", at positions 254 to 781 of the family's 1533-position model. The record is from RNAcentral. Lineage: Bacteria; Pseudomonadati; Bacteroidota; Cytophagia; Cytophagales; Amoebophilaceae.
GGGAGUAAUAGCCCACCAAGGCAAUGAUGGGUAGGGGUUCUUAGUGGAAGAUCCCCCACACUGGCACUGAGAUACGGGCCAGACUCCUACGGGAGGCAGCAGUAGGGAAUAUUGGUCAAUGGGCGCAAGCCUGAACCAGCCAUUCCGCGUGCAGGAUGAAGGCUCUACGAGUUGUAAACUGCUUUUGUACAGGAACAAAAAAGCCCCUGCGGGGGUUCUUGAGUGUACUGUAAGAAUAAGCACCGGCUAAUUCCGUGCCAGCAGCCGCGGUAAUACGGAAGGUGCAAGCGUUAUCCGGUUUUAUUGGGUUUAAAGGGUGCGUAGGCGGCUUAUUAAGUCAGUUGUGAAAUCCUAGCGCUCAACGUUAGAACUGCGAUUGAUACUGAUAGGCUUGAGUCAAGAAGAGGUAGGUAGAAUUUAUGGUGUAGUAGUGAAAUGCUUAGAUAUCAUAAGGAAUACCAAUAGCGUAGGCAGCUUACUGGUCUUGAACUGACGCUGAGGCACGAAAGCGUGGGGAGCAAACAGGAUUAG